This 19-nucleotide small nuclear RNA is filed under the name Arabidopsis thaliana (thale cress). RNAcentral's name for it is "snRNA_15137". The record is from RNAcentral. Lineage: Eukaryota; Viridiplantae; Streptophyta; Magnoliopsida; Brassicales; Brassicaceae.
CAAGUACCGCGAGGUAAAG